This 66-nucleotide transfer RNA is filed under the name Sphaerodactylus townsendi. RNAcentral's name for it is "tRNA-Ala". It matches the Rfam family "tRNA". Rfam says of the family: Transfer RNA (tRNA) molecules are approximately 80 nucleotides in length. Their secondary structure includes four short double-helical elements and three loops (D, anti-codon, and T loops). The record is from RNAcentral. Lineage: Eukaryota; Metazoa; Chordata; Lepidosauria; Squamata; Sphaerodactylidae.
GUGGCUCAGUGGUAGAGCAUCUGCUUGGCAUGCAGAAGGUCCCAGGUUCAAUCCCCAGCACCUCCA